GUGCUUGCUUCGGAGGCAUAUAUACUAAAAUUGGAACAAUACAGAGAAGAUAAGCAUGGCCCCUGUGCAAGGAUGACACACAAAUUCAUGAAACAUUCCAUAUUUUU
This is a small nuclear RNA of Nannospalax galili (Upper Galilee mountains blind mole rat), 107 nucleotides long. The record is from Ensembl. Lineage: Eukaryota; Metazoa; Chordata; Mammalia; Rodentia; Spalacidae.